AACUUUUAACAAUGGAUCUCUUGGCUCUGGCAUCGAUGAAGAACGCAGCGAAAUGCGAUAAGUAGUGUGAAUUGCAGAAUUCAGUGAAUCAUCGAAUCUUUGAACGCACAUUGCGCCCCUUGGUAUUCCGAGGGGCAUGCCUGUUCGAGCGUCAUCU
This 157-nucleotide ribosomal RNA is filed under the name Laburnicola dactylidis. RNAcentral describes it as "5.8S ribosomal RNA". It matches the Rfam family "5.8S ribosomal RNA". From Rfam's summary of the family: 5.8S ribosomal RNA (5.8S rRNA) is a component of the large subunit of the eukaryotic ribosome. It is transcribed by RNA polymerase I as part of the 45S precursor that also contains 18S and 28S rRNA. The record is from RNAcentral. Lineage: Eukaryota; Fungi; Ascomycota; Dothideomycetes; Pleosporales; Didymosphaeriaceae.